CCUACGGGGGGCAGCAGUGAGGAAUAUUGGUCAAUGGACGAGAGUCUGAACCAGCCAAGUAGCGUGAAGGAUGACUGCCCUAUGGGUUGUAAACUUCUUUUAUAUGGGAAUAAAAUGUUCCACGUGUGGGAUUUUGUAUGUACCAUAUUAAUAAGGAUCGGCUAACUCCGUGCCAGCAGCCGCGGUAAUACGGAGGAUCCGAGCGUUAUCCGGAUUUAUUGGGUUUAAAGGGAGCGUAGGUGGAUUGUUAAGUCAGUUGUGAAAGUUUGCGGCUCAACCGUAAAAUUGCAGUUGAAACUGGCAGUCUUGAGUACAGUAGAGGUGGGCGGAAUUCGUGGUGUAGCGGUGAAAUGCUUAGAUAUCACGAAGAACUCCGAUUGCGAAGGCAGUUCACUGGACUGCAACUGACACUGAGGCUCGAAAGUGUGGGUAUCAAACAGGAUUAGAUACCCCUGUAGUC
Molecule: ribosomal RNA, 460 nt
Filed under: uncultured bacterium
Lineage: Bacteria
Description: partial 16S ribosomal RNA
Rfam family: Bacterial small subunit ribosomal RNA
Source: RNAcentral